UACGUAGGGUGCGAGCGUUGUCCGGAAUUAUUGGGCGUAAAGAGCUUGUAGGCGGUCUGUCGCGUCUGCUGUGAAAAUCCGGGGCUCAACCCCGGACUUGCAGUGGGUACGGGCAGACUAGAGUGUGGUAGGGGAGACUGGAAUUCCCGGUGUAGCGGUGAAAUGCGCAGAUAUCGGGAGGAACACCAAUGGCGAAAGCAGCUCUCUGGGACGGUACUGACGCUGAGACGCGAAAGCGUGGGGAGCGAACAGG
This 253-nucleotide ribosomal RNA is filed under the name uncultured bacterium. Its description in RNAcentral is "partial 16S ribosomal RNA". It matches the Rfam family "Bacterial small subunit ribosomal RNA", at positions 524 to 776 of the family's 1533-position model. The record is from RNAcentral.